UGAGGAAUCUUGCGCAAUGGGGGCAACCCUGACGCAGCAACGCCGCGUGAGUGAAGAAGGCCUUCGGGUCGUAAAGCUCUGUCAAGUGGGAAGAAUAGCCUGAAGACGAAUAAUCUUGAGGUAUGACGGUACCACUGGAGGAAGCACCGGCUAACUCCGUGCCAGCAGCCGCGGUAAUACGGAGGGUGCAAGCGUUAUUCGGAAUUAUUGGGCGUAAAGGGCGUGUAGGCGGCCAGAUAAGUCAGAUGUGAAAGCCCGGGGCUUAACCUCGGAAGUGCAUUUGAAACUGUUUGGCUUGAGUGCGGGAGAGGAAAGCGGAAUUCCCAGUGUAGAGGUGAAAUUCGUAGAUAUUGGGAGGAACACCGGUGGCGAAGGCGGCUUUCUGGACCGACACUGACGCUGAGGCGCGAAAGCGUGGGGAGCAAACAGG
RNAcentral lists this ribosomal RNA (430 nucleotides) under uncultured Desulfobacca sp. RNAcentral's name for it is "bacterial SSU rRNA". It matches the Rfam family "Bacterial small subunit ribosomal RNA", at positions 355 to 776 of the family's 1533-position model. The record is from RNAcentral. Lineage: Bacteria; Pseudomonadati; Thermodesulfobacteriota; Desulfobaccia; Desulfobaccales; Desulfobaccaceae.